Molecule: ribosomal RNA, 391 nt
Filed under: uncultured eukaryote
Lineage: Eukaryota
Description: SSU rRNA
Rfam family: Eukaryotic small subunit ribosomal RNA
Source: RNAcentral
AGCUCCAAUAGCGUAUAUUAAAGUUGUUGCAGUUAAAAAGCUCGUAGUUGGAUCUCAGGUGCAGGCGGGCGGUCCGGCUCGCGCCGGUCACUGCUCGUAUCUCCUGCCCUACCGUCUGCCGGCUCUCUCCCGUGGGUGCUCUUCACUGAGCGUCCCGGGUGGCCGGUGCGUUUACUUUGAAAAAAUUAGAGUGUUCAAAGCAGGCCUCGGAGCCUGAAUAAUGGUGCAUGGAAUAAUGGAAUAGGACCUCGGUUCUAUUUUGUUGGUUUUCGGAACGGAGGUAAUGAUUAACAGGGACAAACGGGGGCAUUCGUAUUGCGGCGUUAGAGGUGAAAUUCUUGGAUCGCCGCAAGACGAGCUACUGCGAAAGCAUUUGUCAAGAAUGUUUUCA